GUGCCUAAUAUACCCCACCCCUUGGCAGGUGCCUAAUAUACCCCACCCCUUGGCAGGUGCCACCCCUUGGCAGGUGCCAUUGUAAUCAAUGUCAUUCACUUCAUCUGUCAGUGGUUUUAAUGUUAUGGCUGAACAUUUUUAUAUAUGUUUAUGCAUAUUUUGCCUUCCAAGCACAGCACGCCUAUGUUUUCUCCUGCCAGCUCAUAUAGGCUAAAGAACAAACAAGUAACGUGAUGAUGUCGGACACAAAUGAUGGAGGCAGCAAUUUAACGAUCUUCAUUCUCUGCUUCAUCCUGGUCGUCCUUGUUCUUCUCCUGUUGUACCUCUACAAGCGACUGAACAAUGAAACAAAGGAUGAAUAUACCAUCCAGCGGCUUGUCUUCAGUGAGGGAGGCCUUCGUGAUCGUGUGAGGCAAGGCAUUGCAGAGGUCCAGACCAGGAUAGGUGACCUGCAUAAGGUCUCAACCCCUUGAUGAAGAGCAAGCUUUGAGCAAUAAUGAAGAUGGGAAUAGUGGCAGAGAAGAAGAACGAGACGAAGAAGAAGAUGCAGGACAAGGUCAAAGGGAAAAUGAGAACAAGACAGAAGAGAAAGAAGAGGAACAUCAAGAUCAUGAUUCAUCAGACGACUAUUCCAGCAUUGACCUAAGGGAGAGAGUAAAGCAGAAUAACAGCAAUGAAGAGGAAAUGAAAGAAGAUGAACAAGAGAAACAAGAGGUGGCAAAAGAUGAAGGAAAAAGAGAUGACAAUAAACAAGAGGAAGAUGUGAAGAAUGAAGAAAGGGUUGGCUUACUUGUAGACUUGAAGGCAUUCUCUGGCAGUGCCAUUUGGUCUGAGGAGAAAAAGGAAGAGACUAAUGUGACAGCUUUGUGAAAUAUAGAAGGCUUUAGCCUAAAUAUGAGGCUCAUUAGAAGAAAAGUCUAGACUUGACGAUGUUUGUCUUGCGAUGAGUGAUUUACCUUUGUCAUUCUUAAAAACCUGAUGCAUCCAUAAUAUCCAUAAGAUAGUUUAUUAUUUUUCUUAUCCAUGGCUUAUUUUAUUAGCAUGUUUUCUGUAAUGGCUGACUUUUUUGUUAUUAGAAUAUUUUUUUCAUAAAAACUGUACAUUUACUUCAAAAUAAAUACCAUUAAAUCAUUCAUUUUGAUUUUUUUUUUAAUGCUAUGAAGCUUCAGACUAAAAUAAAGGCCUAGCGUUUAGCCAUAUUAUUCCCCAAAUGGAAACUGAAUACACGACCAUCUCUUGUUAAUGUUGAUCAGUUUAUUUGCUUGCUUUUGUGCCACACAACAUAUGAACAACGCACAAUAAAAUACAUGCAUGUAGUAUGAUAGAAUAUAAUAGGAUCAACUAUUUAUUGAUGUCAGUAAGCUAUACGGUCGAUGAAAAUAAAAACACCAUUUUAAAAAUUGCAGUGUGUAUUGCAAAUAUGUCACAAAAAAUGUUCUUUGAUCUCCAUUUUGUUCAGUGCAAGUGUUUCAGCAUUUAAAAAGUGUCCUCUAAACUAAUUUGAUUGGACCGAUUCUCG
Long non-coding RNA from Ictalurus punctatus (channel catfish), 1519 nucleotides. Lineage: Eukaryota; Metazoa; Chordata; Actinopteri; Siluriformes; Ictaluridae. The record is from Ensembl.